Molecule: ribosomal RNA, 480 nt
Filed under: uncultured delta proteobacterium
Lineage: Bacteria; Deltaproteobacteria
Description: bacterial SSU rRNA
Rfam family: Bacterial small subunit ribosomal RNA
Source: RNAcentral
AACGAACGCUGGCGGCGUGCCUAACACAUGCAAGUCGCACGAGAAAGCCCUUCGGGGUGAGUAGAGUGGCGCACGGGUGAGUAAUGCAUAGGAACGUACCCUAGAGUGGGGAAUAACCACGGGAAACUGUGGCUAAUACCGCAUACGGUAGAAAUACUAAAGAGGCCCUCUGUAUAUGGUCUCGCUUUAGGCUCGGCCUAUGUCCCAUUAGCUAGUUGGUGAGGUAAAGGCUCACCAAGGCAACGAUGGGUAGCUGGUCUGAGAGGAUGAUCAGCCACACUGGGACUGAGACACGGCCCAGACUCCUACGGGAGGCAGCAGUGGGGAAUAUUGCACAAUGGGCGCAAGCCUGAUGCAGCAACGCCGCGUGUGUGAAGAAGGCCCUUGGGUUGUAAAGCACUUUCGACAGGGAAGAAGGGUGGCUAGAUUAAUACCCUAGUCAUUUGACGGUACCUGCAGAAGAAGCACCGGCUAACUCCG